Molecule: ribosomal RNA, 405 nt
Filed under: Xyalidae sp. 8L17C15
Lineage: Eukaryota; Metazoa; Nematoda; Chromadorea; Monhysterida; Xyalidae
Description: bacterial SSU rRNA
Rfam family: Eukaryotic small subunit ribosomal RNA
Source: RNAcentral
UCUGCAAAGAUUAAGCCAUGCAUGUCUAAGCACAAACUAUUAUAAAGUGAAGCCGCGAAAAGCUCAUUACAACAGCCGUCGUUUCUUGGAUCUCCGAAUUUACUUGGAUAACUGUGGUAAUUCUAGAGCUAAUACAUGCAAUCGAGCUCUGAACGUAAGUGAUGGGCGCAUUUAUUAGUAACAAAACCAAUCGGUUACUUGUAACCGUGGUUUGGUGAAUCUGAAUAACUUAGCAGAUCGCUUCGGUCUUUGUACCGGCGACAUAUCUUUCAAGUGUCUGUUUUAUCAACUUUCGAUGUUAGUUUAUGUGACUAACAUGGUUGUCACGGAUAACGGAGAAUAAGGGUUCGACUCCGGAGAGGGAGCCUGAGAAACGGCUACCACUUCCAAGGAAGGCAGCAGGCC